AUUUGACCAUUUUUCCAGCUAUGAUCACCAACUUGAGUAUCAAACAACUUCUGACCACUGCUUGAAUUAUUCCAUUCUCCGUGGUCUUUACUGCAAUGUGUGUUCCACUCUUGGAUAAAUAAAUCAACAAGUUUCUUUUCAACAUCUGUAAGUACUUUCUGCAGAGAGGAGUUAUUAAUUUCUUCUCUUGACUGCAUCUAAAGAUCAUAAAAUCAUUAAUAUUAUCAUACAUUGGUUCUUUAAUUGGAUUUUAUAGACAACUAAAAUUGUUGAAGAUCAAACAUAGCUACGUAAAGUUACAGUUUUACUUGUACGUGUAAAUGAAUAUCGAGGAUGGCAGCUGAAAACAACGCAAUUGGACAUUUUAGUUUUCCUGCAUUUAGGCAUUUGGCUACAUUUUGGUAGUGGCGUCGCCAUGAUUUUGUGAGUGGGGGGUGGGGGCAAAAAAUUUGUACCACGUCCGUCGCUAGCGAAAUGGCCCUAAAACAGCUUCUGCGCUGGAAAUUUUUGAAUUAUAUAUCACAACAUGAGUACUUUCAAUUUUUUAACUUCCCACUUAAACCCUGCGGAUUUGUACAUUCUUCGUGUUAUAACGUUACGUAGAUUGAUUAUUGAUUUUAAUGAAAUGUUUUCAUAUUUUAA
Xenia sp. Carnegie-2017 is the source of this 642-nucleotide long non-coding RNA. RefSeq lists it as uncharacterized. The transcript has 2 exons. Lineage: Eukaryota; Metazoa; Cnidaria; Anthozoa; Malacalcyonacea; Xeniidae. The record is from RefSeq and is a predicted model, not a curated record.